Molecule: ribosomal RNA, 253 nt
Filed under: uncultured Rhodopirellula sp.
Lineage: Bacteria; Pseudomonadati; Planctomycetota; Planctomycetia; Pirellulales; Pirellulaceae
Description: partial 16S ribosomal RNA
Rfam family: Bacterial small subunit ribosomal RNA
Source: RNAcentral
UACGAACUGCACAAACGUUAUUCGGAAUUACUGGGCUUAAAGAGUCCGUAGGCGGCUCGGAGGGUGAGGUGUGAAAUCCCACAGCUCAACUGUGGAAUUGCGCUUCAAACCGCCGAGCUUGAGGAAGACAGGGGUGAGCGGAACAGAUGGUGGAGCGGUGAAAUGCGUUGAUAUCAUUUGGAACACCGGUGGCGAAGGCGGCUCACUGGGUCUUUUCUGACGCUGAGGGACGAAAGCUAGGGGAGCGAACGGG